AUUGAACGCUGGCGGCAGGCCUAACACAUGCAAGUCGAGCGGAUGAAGGGAGCUUGCUCCUGGAUUCAGCGGCGGACGGGUGAGUAAUGCCUAGGAAUCUGCCUGGUAGUGGGGGAUAACGUCCGGAAACGGGCGCUAAUACCGCAUACGUCCUGAGGGAGAAAGUGGGGGAUCUUCGGACCUCACGCUAUCAGAUGAGCCUAGGUCGGAUUAGCUAGUUGGUGGGGUAACGGCCUACCAAGGCGACGAUCCGUAACUGGUCUGAGGGGAUGAUCAGUCACACUGGAACUGAGACACGGUCCAGACUCCUACGGGAGGCAGCAGUGGGGAAUAUUGGACAAUGGGCGAAAGCCUGAUCCAGCCAUGCCGCGUGUGUGAAGAAGGUCUUCGGAUUGUAAAGCACUUUAAGUGGGGAGGAAGGGCAGUAAGUUAAUACCUUGCUGUUUUGACGUUACCAACAGAAUAAGCACCGGCUAACUUCGUG
Molecule: ribosomal RNA, 484 nt
Filed under: uncultured bacterium
Lineage: Bacteria
Description: partial 16S ribosomal RNA
Rfam family: Bacterial small subunit ribosomal RNA
Source: RNAcentral